CUAACAAGGGAUUCCCUUAGUAACGGCGAGUGAACAGGGAUUAGCCCAGCACCGAAGCCUGUGGCCAUUUGGUUACUAGGCAAUGUGGUGUUCAGGUCGUUCCGCAGAGGCACUGCUCCACUCCAAGUCCAGCAAUGAGUACGGUAGUACAGACUUGGCCCAUAGAGGGUGAAAGGCCCGUGGGGGUGGAGAUUCAGGCAGGCCAGUGUCUCUCUGGGUAGACCUUGGAGUCGGGUUGUUUGUGAAUGCAGCCCAAAGCGGGUGGUAAACUCCAUCCAAGGCUAAAUACUAGCACGAGUCCGAUAGCGAACAAGUACCGUGAGGGAAAGUUGAAAAGUACUUUGAAGAGAGAGUAAACAGUGCGUGAAACCGCUCAGAGGUAAACGGGUGGAGUUGAACUGCAAGCCUUGAGAAUUCAGCUGGUGAGUGUGGUUUGAGCUGGGUCAAAUUGGUUGUACUCUGGAGUCUGCGUAGUAGCAGGUCUCUGCCCUCGGGUGGGGAUGCGCGAAUCGCUUAUCAAGCGUUGUCCGCUCCAGUUGUAUUCGGGCCUGCUUGCCAGUGCACUUUCUCAGGGUGUUCACCACGACCGGCACUGCUGUCUGGCUGUUGUGGUUAAACCGGUCUUGCAUUGUCCUUGUGGCUUUGUUUGGUCGGGACGGCAGGUAGCUCGUUGGCUAUUCCAGGGCAACCUGGUCAAUUGGUCAUCGAGUGUAAUCAGCUGACCAUAAUAGUUCUGUGCGGUGUGUCGGAGACGGCGGCUUGUGGUGUGAGCGCGCGUGCAUUGUCUGCUGACUUGUUUGGGUUUGGUUGCUUUGUUGCUUGUUCUGCAAGCCUGGCGAUGGCCUGAGCAUGUUUGGCUUGCGGUUGCGUGUGUGACACUUAUCCAGGGCCAAUAGUCUGUGGUGUAGUGGUAGAC
This 916-nucleotide ribosomal RNA is filed under the name Lepidapedon discoveryi. Its description in RNAcentral is "eukaryotic LSU rRNA". It matches the Rfam family "Eukaryotic large subunit ribosomal RNA", at positions 65 to 633 of the family's 3401-position model. Lineage: Eukaryota; Metazoa; Platyhelminthes; Trematoda; Plagiorchiida; Lepocreadiidae. The record is from RNAcentral.